RNAcentral lists this long non-coding RNA (3415 nucleotides) under Nicotiana tabacum (common tobacco). RNAcentral's name for it is "long non-coding RNA (NTAB_LNC001748)". Lineage: Eukaryota; Viridiplantae; Streptophyta; Magnoliopsida; Solanales; Solanaceae. The record is from RNAcentral.
AUUCCCUCACCAUCAGAGACCCUUCAUGGAACCCUAGCGCUGCCCCCAAAUCCUCCACCCUCUCCGGUGGCGGCGCCGCCUCUAAACCGUCCCAAAUCCACACCAUAUAACCCCCAACCCUUCUUCUUCCUAAAUCCUGGAACAUUUGCCCUCGAAUCACCCUAGGAUUCUUCGAAUCUUGAAUCAAAGUGUCGAACCCUAAAUUCCCAAAACCUCCAAAUCGAGAUUUCAGUGAAGGAUUAGGGUCUAGGUUGAUUUUAUUCAUGUGUUCUUAAUAAGAACACACGAUUAAUGUCAAACUCAGCCGAAAUUCAAAGAUUUGAAGAUUUUUCAAUUUCUACUGUCCAAGCCAUCUUUUAGGUAUUUUUCAUUGUUUUCUGUUCUUCACUUGUCAUUGUUAGUUCUCCUCCUAUCUUCUUCUUCUUCUUUCUUAUUAUUUUUUAAUUUUCUAGUUCUUCAAGUUACCUUGUAUGCAUGUUAAUUUUAGGUCUUUUUCUUUAAUUAGUGCGCUUUGUUUGUUGUGCGAAUGUGUUCAAAUGUAGUUCUGUUUCUAUUUUCUCUUUAGGACCAAGAUUUCACGAGUCCUUAGGACUCUGUAAGUGAAAAUUUGAGGGUUUUGAGCUUUUAAUUUUGAAUUGAGGCUCUGUUAGAGCAGAAGCCCAAGGAAAAGGGGUUCAAUCCGAUUUGUCUAGCCCAGUUUUAGAGUUUGAACCUUGGGUCAAUUUGACCCAUUUGGUUUCUGAAGUAAAUACAAGGGGUUUAAGGGUUAGUUUAGGAAAUUUAGGCUAGAGAAUCUAUUAUAACUGAUUGGGGAAACUUCUAGGAAGGUGGGUUUGGGGCUUUCUGAAAAGCUGAUUUUUAAACCAAGGACAUAAGAGCAAAAAUGAAAAUUUGAAAAGGGUAAAAGGGCAAUAAAUUAACUCAUUUCUGUUGCCCUAAGGCUUGCCUAUAAAAGCAUUGUUUCUUCACACACAAGGGAGAUUUUUUAGAAAUUCAGAGACUGAAAAUACUAAAAAAAAAAACUCUAGGAACAACUAAGCUUUUUCUAGACUCAAAAAUACUGAAAUUAGUUGAAGAAUUGGUUGGUUUUUGCUCCUCAAGUUCCUUGUUAGUCAAAUUUUUCGAAAGCUUUAAAAGUUGUAUUGAUUCUGGGUUCGAAGCUGUUUUAAAAGGCUGAGUAGUUGCUGAUUGCUUGGUUGCUUUUGUUGCUGAUACUCUGCUGCUGACCUCUUCUUAAUCUUGAGCUCAUUUCACUGAACUCCAUUGACAUAUUGAAUUGAAAGGGUUGAGGCUGUUUGAUUGAGCUGAAAAUCAAUGAUGUUUUGUUCAUUAGAUUUUUUUUCUGCAUUACAUUGGUUAUGUAAUUAACUAGUUAUCCUCAUGUGUAUGUUUGUUCUUGUCUAUUAUAGUUUUAAGUUCUGUUUAUAGUGUUGGACAAAUGCUUUCUUUUAUUUGUUUAGUUUAAAUGAGUUGAAGUUUCUGAUCAUAUGUGUGGAUGGUAGAGAAUCAGUGCAGUAGAAAUUUCAGCAGAAUUAAGCAUGUUUCAGAUCUGUUUUAGCCUACCGAAAUUAGUGUUAUGUGAAUUUGUUUAAGUUGAUAUUCAUAGGUUUGAAACCAGAAAUUUUCAAUUGGGGUUUAUCUCAGUGUUGUAUUCUGCUAUUUGGAAACCAUGUAGUACUUUACUUCAUGAAAUUAUUAAUUGAAUGGCUUCCAAGUUAGUAGUUAGCUUAUAGUCAUUUUGGAUAAGAAAAAUGGUCUGGUUGAUUACUUUAAGGGUCUAGCCCUGUGCAGAAUUGCUCCUGGUUAAUUUAUAAGCACGUUUAAGCUUAAAUUCUGAUUUAUUUACUUAACAAGCUUAUGAGUUUUUUGAUUUGCUAUUAUAUGUAUUGAAAAGAGGUUUAAUUAGAUUUGAAAUCUCGCACAAUUGUCUUUUUGAAUUAGCUGAGGAUUGAUUUAAAUAUGAUUCCUAUACAGUCGUGCAUUAUGGAAAAUCAAUCACUCGAUCUCGAGUCCUAUUUUUACCUUGCAUCAUCUUAAGAGAUUUUGUUUUGCCUUGGGGUCAGGAUUCUGAGGAGCUUGCAUUUACAGCCCUUUUGGGCCUGCGAUUCGAGCCCAUUUGCUUAUCCUCAACUUUGAUACGGGUGCUCAAAAUAGCGAUUGGGCCUGCUGUUAGUUUAGGCCCUUCCAAUAAUUGAAUGCUUGUUAUUUUAAUAUCAGCAUUUUAAAUGAACAAGUUUGGAUUGAACCAUUCGCUCGAAAUAAGAGUUCAAAUUCCAUUAGUGUUUAAUUAAUUAGAUUCCAUUAAAUAGAUUUGAGGUAUUCCAUAUUAAGUAAGAUCUAAUUUAUGUCCCUCAAAAGCUUAGUUUGAGUUUCCUUUAAAACCGGAAUCGAGGUGUGCCAUUUAGUUGAAUUUUCCAUGGCCCUCGCAAACUUGAAAGUGCGUAGUCGCUUUAGGCGCGUAAUUUAAAUUAACUUCCUUAAACUCGGGUGUGCAUUUCAUGUGACCCAAAUCCAAAUCUCAACAACGUUAAAUAAAAUGUGUCAGGGACCGCGGGUGCAUUUCAUGUAGCGUGGCUCAAGACGUGUUUUAGAUAACGUUGAAUCUUCCUAAAAUCAAUUAAAAGCGGCUAAUAAGUUAAAAAAGUACCAUAGGCUAAAACUUGUAUUAAAAUCGGAUAAUAGGCCAAUUUUAAUAGUUUAAGCGACCGUGCUAGAACCACGGAACCCGGGAAUGCCUAACAUCUUCUCCCGGGUUAACAGAAUUCCUUACUUAGAAUUUCUGGUUCGCAGACUUCAAAAGGAAAGUCGAUUUUCCUCGAUUUGGGAUUUUAAAAUAAACCGGUGACUUGGGACACCAAUUAAAAUAUUCCAAAUGACGACUCUGAAGAAUUAAAGUAAAUAAUCUCAUUUCGAUUAAUAUCACUUUAAUUGGAAAAACUCUCCAUAUACCCCCUCGGGUGGUAAAAAAGGAGGUGUGACAUCAGUCGUGUAUUUUCGUAUUCCAUAGUUAUUGUUGCUUUCGUUUUGGUUUUCUAAUUGCAUUACUUAGUGUUAGUUUAUAUUUUCGCUCCAGUUUUCCGAUUGGCUUGCUUGUUGUUGCCUUUUCCAUUUAUCUUUCUUAAGUCGAGGUCUAUCUACUUAGAUGUAGAGAUAAUGUAUGCAUACACACUACCCUCCCAGACUCUACUUGUGGGAUUAUACUGGGUUUGUUGCUGUGUGUUAUAUUAACAAUCAGAUUCAUAUUUUGAUAACUAUAAUGCCUAAAUCAAUAACUCUGGUAACAACACUGAUGAUCUGUUUCAGUUUCUUUCAGGGAAAAAGAAAGGUGUGGACUAGGCUUUUGAUGCCUAGCCACAUGUUACUAUACAUAGACAAGAAAAAUGUACUACCAAAGAUCCGAGUAAAAGUUGAUAUC